This 399-nucleotide long non-coding RNA is filed under the name Carica papaya (papaya). RNAcentral's name for it is "long non-coding RNA (CPAP_LNC013923)". The record is from RNAcentral. Lineage: Eukaryota; Viridiplantae; Streptophyta; Magnoliopsida; Brassicales; Caricaceae.
UGAUCUAAAAAUUUUGGGACAAUUGAGGCCAAUAUAAACAAUAAGGUGACAACUGCUGCUAGUUUAAGGGAAAAAGAGAGGCAGAUGCAUGGCCUGUUGGUGGUGCGCGCUGCAGACCUGUGGCUAGUACAUAGGUGCACAACCUAGCGGGCAUGCAGCUGUAGAGAAUGGAGGCUGGAGCUGUACGGCUGGGACUGUUGCUUCUGAAUAGAUAGGAGCUGUGCGACUGUAAUGCUUAUAUGCGCAGUUCGAGGUGCAGUUGGAAGAUCUAGAGCUCAUGAUGAAGAUAGGUCUCAAUGGCUGGUGGCCGGUCUGUGAUGGCUGGCUGCUGGGGUUGUGGUGGCCAGCAAUGAGUAUUGGCCCCCUUAGGAGUUUUUUUUUUCUUUUUAAUAUUUCGGC